GGGGAUGUAGCUCAGUGGCAGAGCACUUGCCUAACAUGCAAGAGGCCCUGCGGACCAAACAGUCCCCA
RNAcentral lists this transfer RNA (68 nucleotides) under Heterocephalus glaber (naked mole-rat). It matches the Rfam family "tRNA". From Rfam's summary of the family: Transfer RNA (tRNA) molecules are approximately 80 nucleotides in length. Their secondary structure includes four short double-helical elements and three loops (D, anti-codon, and T loops). Lineage: Eukaryota; Metazoa; Chordata; Mammalia; Rodentia; Bathyergidae. The record is from Rfam by way of RNAcentral.